AUUGAACGCUGGCGGCAGGCCUAACACAUGCAAGUCGAACGAGUGGCGGACGUGUGAGUAAUGUCUGGGAAACUGCCUGAUGGAGGGGGUAAACUACUGGAAACGGUAGCUAAUACCGCAUACCAUCAGAUGUGCCCAGCUGGGCUUAGCUAGUUGGUGGGGGAAGGGCUCACCAAGGCGGCGAUGCCUAGCUGGUCUGAGAGGAUGACCAGCCACACUGGAACUGAGAGACGGUCCAGACUCCUACGGGAGGCAGCAGUGGGGAAUAUUGGACAAUGGGCGCAAGCCUGAUGCAGCCAUGCCGCGUGUAUGAAGAAGGCCUUCGGGUUGUAAAGUACUUUCAGCGGUGAGGCGUUACCCGCAGAAGAAGCACCGGCUAACUCCGUGCCAGCAGCCGCGGUAAUUC
Molecule: ribosomal RNA, 406 nt
Filed under: uncultured bacterium
Lineage: Bacteria
Description: partial 16S ribosomal RNA
Rfam family: Bacterial small subunit ribosomal RNA
Source: RNAcentral